UGGGGAAUCUUGCGCAAUGGGCGAAAGCCUGACGCAGCCAUGCCGCGUGAGUGAUGAAGGCCUUAGGGUUGUAAAACUCUUUCACCGGGGACGAUAAUGACGGUACCCGGAGAAGAAGCCCCGGCUAACUUCGUGCCAGCAGCCGCGGUAAUACGAAGGGGGCUAGCGUUGCUCGGAAUUACUGGGCGUAAAGGGCGCGUAGGCGGAUCAGCAAGUUGGGGGUGAAAGCCCGGGGCUCAACCUCGGAAUUGCCUUCAAAACUGCUGAUCUAGAGUACGGGAGAGGUGUGUGGAACUCCGAGUGUAGAGGUGAAAUUCGUAGAUAUUCGGAAGAACACCAGUGGCGAAGGCGACACACUGGCCCGUUACUGACGCUGAGGCGCGAAAGCGUGGGGAGCAAACAGGAUUAGAUACCCUGGUAGUCCACGCUGUAAACGAUGAUUGCUAGUUGUCGGCAGGCAUGCCUGUCGGUGACGCAGCUAACGCAUUAAGCAAUCCGCCUGGGGAGUACGGUCGCAAGAUUAAAAACUUAAAUGAAUUGACGGGGUCAUAGCUGUUU
This 558-nucleotide ribosomal RNA is filed under the name uncultured bacterium. Its description in RNAcentral is "partial 16S ribosomal RNA". It matches the Rfam family "Bacterial small subunit ribosomal RNA", at positions 355 to 935 of the family's 1533-position model. The record is from RNAcentral.